UACGUAGGGUGCAAGCGUUGUCCGGAAUUAUUGGGCGUAAAGAGCUCGUAGGCGGUCUGUCGCGUCGACUGUGAAAACCCAAGGCUCAACCUUGGGCUUGCAGUCGAUACGGGCAGACUUGAGUGUGGUAGGGGAGACUGGAAUUCCUGGUGUAGCGGUGAAAUGCGUAGAUAUCUGGAGGAAUACCGGUGGCGAAGGCGGCAUCCUGGACCGAGAUUGACACUGAUGAGCGAAAGCUAGGGGAGCAAACGGG
Molecule: ribosomal RNA, 253 nt
Filed under: uncultured bacterium
Lineage: Bacteria
Description: partial 16S ribosomal RNA
Rfam family: Bacterial small subunit ribosomal RNA
Source: RNAcentral